Molecule: RNA transcript, 957 nt
Organism: Cimex lectularius (bed bug)
Lineage: Eukaryota; Metazoa; Arthropoda; Insecta; Hemiptera; Cimicidae
Exons: 4
Source: RefSeq, a predicted model, not a curated record
GUUUUUUUAUUUUGUUUACUUUUAUUAACUAUUAUUUAAUACUUUUAAGUUAAGACAAAAAACAAUUUUAAAAAUGUGUAAAAAGUUAAAAGAAAUCGCUUCUUCAGGAGCAAAAGCUUUAGUUAGGCUGAUGAUUUUGUUUUUAAUGGUAGCUGAAUUCUUCCUGUUGUUUGCCUACUACAGAUUCCUCGGGUGGGCCUAUGAAAAGUUGUUACUUGUAACUCUCUUUUCGGGUUUUGUGUUCAUCUACAUACUGAUCAUCAUGGGUUCGAUCUCAAACAGAAUCAGCGCAUUUGUGGAAGCGACAUGGGCAUUUUAUGCAUGCUGUGCCUACUUCGUUUCAGGAUUUAUCUUCAUAUGGUUCUCAAAAUAUAAUAUUUUCUAUACAUACCAAGAAGCAGAAGGUCAAGCAAAAUUUGACGAGAAGUCGUAUUCAUUCGGUAGCAGGCUGAAUAAAAUGCUUUUCCAUGAUAGCCGAGAACCCUUGGCCAUCUGCUGUACCAUUUUGUCUUUCCUGAUUUCUAUAUUGACUCUUCUCCACAUGCUCGUAGUAAUGAAUAAAGUGGACUUGGACUCUUUGAAUAUUUACAAACAGAGAAGAUCGACAGAAAAAACAGCAAAAAUGUCAGUCAUUACUCGUGAAACCAUUUUAAACUGACCAUUAAUUUUUUGUCUUUUUUUGAAAGCAAACCCUAGAACCAAAAAAGUGACUAUAAUUUUGCGCAACAAUCUGAACUGUAAUUCAUAAAUUUUGUAAAAUUUCAACAAUUAUUACAGAUUUGAGACAUAACACAAAAAAUACAGUAUGGGACAGCAAAACUUGGGGAACCAACAGCCCAUUGAUAACAAUACAGAAUUUGUCUAACUCGACAUAUUUUUUAAUUUUACCUACCAUUGAAAAAUCUACUUUAACUCUACAUGAAAUAAUUUUAAUUGGAAUAAAUGCAUUAUUUGGUA